AGAGUUUGAUCAUGGCUCAGGACGAACGCUGGCGGCAUGCCUAAUACAUGCAAGUCGAGCGAACAGAUGAAGUGCUUGCACUUCUGACGUUAGCGGCGAACGGGUGAGUAACACGUAAGGAAUCUACCUGUAAGCGGGGGAUAACAUUCGGAAACGGGUGCUAAUACCGCAUAAUAUCUUCUUCUGCAUGGAAGAAGAUUGAAAGACGGCUCUGCUGUCACUUAUAGAUGACCUUGCGGUGCAUUAGUUAGUUGGUGGGGUAAUGGCCUACCAAGACGAUGAUGCAUAGCCGACCUGAGAGGGUGAUCGGCCACAUUGGGACUGAGACACGGCCCAAACUCCUACGGGAGGCAGCAGUAGGGAAUCUUCCGCAAUGGGCGAAAGCCUGACGGAGCAAUGCCGCGUGAGUGAAGAAGGCCUUCGGGUCGUAAAACUCUGUUAUAAGAGAAGAACAAAUUGUAGAGUAACUGCUACAGUCUUGACGGUAUCUUAUCAGAAAGCCACGGCUAACUACGUGCCAGCAGCCGCGGUAAUACGUAGGUGGCAAGCGUUGUCCGGAUUUAUUGGGCGUAAAGGGAGCGCAGGUGGUUUCUUAAGUCUGAUGUGAAAGCCCACGGCUUAACCGUGGAGGGUCAUUGGAAACUGGGAAACUUGAGUACAGAAGAGGAAUGUGGAACUCCAUGUGUAGCGGUGGAAUGCGUAGAUAUAUGGAAGAACACCAGUGGCGAAGGCGACAUUCUGGUCUGUUACUGACACUGAGGCUCGAAAGCGUGGGGAGCAAACAGGAUUAGAUACCCUGGUAGUCC
This 806-nucleotide ribosomal RNA is filed under the name uncultured bacterium. RNAcentral describes it as "bacterial SSU rRNA". It matches the Rfam family "Bacterial small subunit ribosomal RNA", at positions 8 to 796 of the family's 1533-position model. The record is from RNAcentral.